UACGUAGGGGGCUAGCGUUGUCCGGAUUUAUUGGGCGUAAAGAGCGUGUAGGCGGCCAGGUAGGUCAGCUGUGAAAACUCGAGGCUCAACCUCGAGACGCCGGUUGAAACCAUCUGGCUAGAGUCCGGAAGAGGAGAGUGGAAUUCCUGGUGUAGCGGUGAAAUGCGCAGAUAUCAGGAAGAACACCCGUGGCUAAGGCGGCUCUCUAGUACGGUACUGACGCUGAGACGCGAAAGCGUGGGGAGCAAACAGG
This 253-nucleotide ribosomal RNA is filed under the name uncultured bacterium. RNAcentral describes it as "partial 16S ribosomal RNA". It matches the Rfam family "Bacterial small subunit ribosomal RNA", at positions 524 to 776 of the family's 1533-position model. The record is from RNAcentral.